This 253-nucleotide ribosomal RNA is filed under the name uncultured bacterium. RNAcentral's name for it is "partial 16S ribosomal RNA". It matches the Rfam family "Bacterial small subunit ribosomal RNA", at positions 524 to 776 of the family's 1533-position model. The record is from RNAcentral.
UACAGAGGUCUCGAGCGUUGUUCGGAUUCAUUGGGCGUAAAGGGCGCGUAGGCGGCGGUGUAAGUCUGGUGUGAAAUCUCGGAGCUCAACUCCGAAAUUGCACUGGAUACUGCUCUGCUAGAGGGCUGGAGAGGAGAUCGGAAUUCACGGUGUAGCAGUGAAAUGCGUAGAUAUCGUGAGGAAGACCAGUGGCGAAGGCGGAUCUCUGGACAGGUACUGACGCUGAGGCGCGAAGGCUAGGGGAGCAAACGGG